This 458-nucleotide ribosomal RNA is filed under the name uncultured bacterium. Its description in RNAcentral is "partial 16S ribosomal RNA". It matches the Rfam family "Bacterial small subunit ribosomal RNA", at positions 338 to 795 of the family's 1533-position model. The record is from RNAcentral.
CCUACGGGUGGCUGCAGUGGGGAAUAUUGCACAAUGGCGGAAACCCUGAUGCAGCGACGCCGCGUGAGUGAAGAAGUCUUUCCGUAUGUAAAGCUCUAUCAGCAGGGAAGAAAUAGCGACCUUUGGGUCGCCCUCCGGUACCUGCUUAAGAAGCCCCUGCUCACUACGUGCCAGCAGCCGCGGUAAUACGUGGGGGGCAAGCGUUAUCCGGAUUUACUGGGGGUAAAGGGAGCGUAGACGGCAGCGCAAGUCUGAAGUGAAAUGCCGGGGCUUAAACCCGGAACUGCGUUGGAAACUGUGCAGCUAGAGUGCAGGAGAGGUAAGUGGAAUUCCUAGUGUAGCGGUGAAAUGCGUAGAUAUUAGGAGGAACACCAGUGGCGAAGGCGGCUUACUGGACUGUAACUGACGUUGAGGCGCGAAAGCGUGGGGAGCAAACAGGAUUAGAUACCCCAGUAGUC